GGGGAUGACUGGUUUCGACGGGGCAAAUAGGGCGUAUGCUGCAAGCCGAGGUGCUCCAUCCUCGUAAAUCAGGGGCAAAAACUUAACUGCCAACACAGGCAAAGCGUUCACCUUCCCCUUCGCCCGCACCAACGCCAUGGCGUUGGCUGCGUAACGAGAGGAUAGGGAACAAACUGGUCGCCGCAGGGUGACCACGGUGCCCUCGAUGGGGCCAGGCGGCGUCGAGGUGCAUUGACAGAGACCGUAAGGUGCGGCCCGUAGACGCCGAUAAGCGGGUCCAAGGCUCUCGGCUAGUCGAACUAGUGGACGGUGGUCACUGCCGAACCGUUCGGCGAAAUCUGAAUCAGCGGCUAAGCUUGUAGAUGCGUACGUUCGUUUGUUUCGGACCCGGGUUCGAUUCCCGGCAUCUCCACCU
RNAcentral lists this transfer-messenger RNA (415 nucleotides) under Anaerolineae. Its description in RNAcentral is "CG2-30-64-16 sp002842085 Standard tmRNA". It matches the Rfam family "transfer-messenger RNA". Rfam says of the family: Bacterial tmRNA, also known as 10Sa RNA or SsrA, is named for its dual tRNA and mRNA-like properties. Its role is to liberate the mRNA from a stalled ribosome. RNAcentral also lists the same sequence under 1 other name. Lineage: Bacteria; Bacillati; Chloroflexota. The record is from RNAcentral.